ACGGGAUAACCGCUGAAAGCAUCUAAGUGGGAAGCCCACCUCAAGAUGAGCACUCUCAGGACGUAAGUCCUCUGAAGGGGCGUGAGAGACGAUCACGUUGAUAGGCGGCAGGUGGACGCAUGGCAACAUGUGAAGCCGAGCCGUACUAAUCCCCCGUGAGGCUUGACCGCUC
This 172-nucleotide ribosomal RNA is filed under the name Gemmatimonadales bacterium. RNAcentral's name for it is "partial 23S ribosomal RNA". It matches the Rfam family "Bacterial large subunit ribosomal RNA", at positions 2759 to 2925 of the family's 2925-position model. Lineage: Bacteria; Pseudomonadati; Gemmatimonadota; Gemmatimonadia; Gemmatimonadales. The record is from RNAcentral.